This 65-nucleotide transfer RNA is filed under the name Margattea nimbata. RNAcentral describes it as "tRNA-Ala". The record is from RNAcentral. Lineage: Eukaryota; Metazoa; Arthropoda; Insecta; Blattodea; Pseudophyllodromiidae.
AGGAUGAUAGUUAAUAAUAACAGUUGGGUUGCAUUCAAAAAGUACUGAAAAUAUCAGUUCAUCUU